This 74-nucleotide transfer RNA is filed under the name Kordia sp. SMS9. RNAcentral describes it as "tRNA-Pro". It matches the Rfam family "tRNA". Rfam says of the family: Transfer RNA (tRNA) molecules are approximately 80 nucleotides in length. Their secondary structure includes four short double-helical elements and three loops (D, anti-codon, and T loops). The record is from RNAcentral. Lineage: Bacteria; Pseudomonadati; Bacteroidota; Flavobacteriia; Flavobacteriales; Flavobacteriaceae.
CUGGGAAUAGAACAAUUGGCUGUUUACUCGCCUUGGACGCGAGAGGAUGUAGGUUCGAAUCCUGCUUCCCAGAC